This 254-nucleotide ribosomal RNA is filed under the name uncultured bacterium. Its description in RNAcentral is "partial 16S ribosomal RNA". It matches the Rfam family "Bacterial small subunit ribosomal RNA", at positions 524 to 776 of the family's 1533-position model. The record is from RNAcentral.
GACGAACCGUGCGAACGUUUGUUCGGAAUCACUGGGCUUAAAGGGCGCGUAGGCGGGCUCAAAAGUCAGGGGUGAAAUCCCACGGCUCAACCGUGGAAGUGCCUUUGAUACUGUGAGUCUCGAGGGAGGUAGGGGCGUGCGGAACUUCCGGUGGAGCGGUGAAAUGCGUUGAGAUCGGAAGGAACGCCCGUGGCGAAAGCGAGCUCCUGGAUGUCUUCUGACGCUGAGACGCGAAAGCUAGGGUAGCGAACGGG